This 425-nucleotide ribosomal RNA is filed under the name uncultured bacterium. Its description in RNAcentral is "partial 16S ribosomal RNA". It matches the Rfam family "Bacterial small subunit ribosomal RNA", at positions 354 to 796 of the family's 1533-position model. The record is from RNAcentral.
GUGGGGAAUAUUGGACAAUGGGCGCAAGCCUGAUCCAGCCAUGCCGCGUGAGUGAUGAAGGUCUUAGGAUUGUAAAGCUCUUUCACCGGUGAAGAUAAUGACGGUAACCGGAGAAGAAGCCCCGGCUAACUUCGUGCCAGCAGCCGCGGUAAUACGAAGGGGGCUAGCGUUGUUCGGAAUUACUGGACGUAAAGCGCACGUAGGCGGAUAUUUAAGUCAGGGGUGAAAUCCCAGAGCUCAACUCUGGAACUGCCUUUGAUACUGGGUAUCUUGAGUAUGGAAGAGGUGAGUGGAAUUCCGAGUGUAGAGGUGAAAUUCGUAGAUAUUCGGAGGAACACCAGUGGCGAAGGCGGCUCACUGGUCCAUUACUGACGCUGAGGUGCGAAAGCGUGGGGAGCAAACAGGAUUAGAUACCCGUGUAGUCC